UUUGGCACAUUUGUUAAGUUUUCAAAUGGGCCUAACUCUGCCACAUAUAUAAUAUCGGAGAUGGCAAAGGCUUGUGACGGAGAUAUCUCUCUUAAGCCUUUCCUGCAUCAGAGAAUGGCUCCCACAUGUGUCAGGCUAUCUCAUAAGUUUAAGUCCUUACAGACAGGCUGACACAGGCUUGUCUGGCCUGAGGAUAUUCUG
Molecule: long non-coding RNA, 201 nt
Filed under: Homo sapiens (human)
Lineage: Eukaryota; Metazoa; Chordata; Mammalia; Primates; Hominidae
Description: HSALNT0167031
Rfam family: Small nucleolar RNA SNORA12 (bases 1-129)
About the family: U108 belongs to the H/ACA family of snoRNAs.
Source: RNAcentral